RNAcentral lists this small nucleolar RNA (138 nucleotides) under Ornithorhynchus anatinus (platypus). The record is from RNAcentral. Lineage: Eukaryota; Metazoa; Chordata; Mammalia; Monotremata; Ornithorhynchidae.
CACCUCUCAGGGUCGCACCUGGAGAGUUUCCAGUAGUCUACCAGUCUUGACUAUAGGAAGGAGAGUCAAGCAGAAGCAUAUCCACUCCAUUCCUAGCUUGGGCAGAGGCUAGAGAGUGAAAGGCAAUCUGCUACAAGU